Dermacentor andersoni is the source of this 463-nucleotide non-coding RNA. The record is from RefSeq and is a predicted model, not a curated record. NCBI's taxonomy places the organism in Eukaryota, Metazoa, Arthropoda, Arachnida, Ixodida, Ixodidae.
GCUGCAAGACUUUCUGCGCGCGCUUUUGUGCAUGUCGAAAGCGUAUAACGUGCGCGAUAUUCGUGCGAGCGCAGUUUGACUUGAGCAAUCGUGGGUUUGGACUCCGUGACAUUUGCUUUCGUCAUAUGCGAGUUAGGGGCUUGCCGACAGGUAAACCGCCGCUGUACUUAGAUGAGUUGAGAUUUACACAUCAAUGCCAGCUCACAAAGCAUCUAAUACGGCAAUCAGCCAGCCACCUCCGCAGAUGGAGAAUUCUGCAGUUUCCAAUCAUACUGUUUCUGUUGUCUUUGGCAGAGAUUUUGAUUGUACACGGCGGGAAUAAACUGUAGGACCAUAAAAAAACUUGUGAUGACAAGGGCCAUAUAUGGUGGAAAUUAUAGUAGAUUAUGACCAGCAUUAGCUCAAGCCCUGCUAAAGGUCUGUGGUAUCUAAAAAAAUAAUAAAGUGCUGGUUUUCAUAUCUA